AACGAACGCUGGCGGCAGGCUUAACACAUGCAAGUCGAACGCCCCGCAAGGGGCGUGGCGGACGGGUGAGUAACGCGUGGGAACAUACCCUUUCCUGCGGAAUAGCUCCGGGAAACUGGAAUUAAUACCGCAUACGCCCUACUGGGGAAAGAUUGAUCGGGGAAGGAUUGGCCCGCGUGGGAUUAGCUAGUUGGUGGGGUAAAGGCCUACCAAGGCGACGAUCCAUAGCUGGUCUGAGAGGAUGAUCAGCCACAUUGGGACUGAGACACGGCCCAAACUCCUACGGGAGGCAGCAGUGGGGAAUAUUGGACAAUGGGCGCAAGCCUGAUCCAGCCAUGCCGCGUGAGUGAUGAAGGCCUUAGGGUUGUAAACCUCUUUCAGUAGGGAAGAAGCGAAAGUGACGGUACCUGCAGAAGAAGCACCGGCUAACUACGUG
Molecule: ribosomal RNA, 436 nt
Filed under: uncultured bacterium
Lineage: Bacteria
Description: partial 16S ribosomal RNA
Rfam family: Bacterial small subunit ribosomal RNA
Source: RNAcentral